Molecule: ribosomal RNA, 575 nt
Filed under: Morchella americana
Lineage: Eukaryota; Fungi; Ascomycota; Pezizomycetes; Pezizales; Morchellaceae
Description: eukaryotic LSU rRNA
Rfam family: Eukaryotic large subunit ribosomal RNA
Source: RNAcentral
AGGAAAAGAAACCAACAGGGAUUGCCUCAGUAACGGCGAGUGAAGCGGCAAAAGCUCAAAUUUUAAAGCUGGCACCUCCGGUGUCCGCGUUGUAAUUUUGUGAGGCAUCUCCGGGUGGGGCGCCGGCCUAAGUUCCUUGGAACAGGACGUCAUAGAGGGUGAGAAUCCCGUGCUUGGCUGGCUGUCCCCGUCCAUGUGAGGUGUCUUCGACGAGUCGAGUUGUUUGGGAAUGCAGCUCAAAAUGGGUGGUAAAUUUCAUCUAAAGCUAAAUAUUGGUGGGAGACCGAUAGCGCACAAGUAGAGUGAUCGAAAGAUGAAAAGCACUUUGAAAAUAGAGUUAAAAAGUACGUGAAAUUGUUGAAAGGGAAGCGCUUGAGACCAGACUUCGGUGGGGAGUGAUCAGCCGUCCUUCUGGGCGGUGCACUUGCCCCCCUCCGGGCCAGCAUCGGUUGGGACGGCGGGAUAAAGGUCCCGGGAAUGUGGCUCCUCUCGGGGAGUGUUAUAGCCCGGGUGAAUGCCGCCAGCCCCGACCGAGGACCGCGCCUUCGGGCUAGGAUGCUUGGCAUAAUGGUCUU